RNAcentral lists this non-coding RNA (24 nucleotides) under Gallus gallus (chicken). The record is from miRBase by way of RNAcentral. Lineage: Eukaryota; Metazoa; Chordata; Aves; Galliformes; Phasianidae.
UGGAAGAUAUGGUCAUCACUCUGU